GUCCCUAUAGUUCAAUUGGAUAGAACACAAGCUUGCGGAGCUUGGAAUAGAGGUUCGAAUCCUCUUAGGGGCACCA
Molecule: transfer RNA, 76 nt
Filed under: Candidatus Staskawiczbacteria bacterium
Lineage: Bacteria; Candidatus Staskawicziibacteriota
Description: tRNA-Arg
Rfam family: tRNA
About the family: Transfer RNA (tRNA) molecules are approximately 80 nucleotides in length. Their secondary structure includes four short double-helical elements and three loops (D, anti-codon, and T loops).
Source: RNAcentral